UCGCUAGGUUGCUGAGUCCAAUAUGCCUUGAAUCAUGAAGCCGAACUGGUAUAUAGGCCAGGUUACAUAGAUCCACUUUAAACACUCAGCCUGCGCUAAUUCACCUAGUAAGGAUUUCCCUCCAAAACACGAAGACAACAAAGAAAAAUACAAGUUAGAUACCAGUUCAGCUUCGUGUUUCGGAGGAAAUCCUUACUAGGUGAAUUAGUGCAGGCUGAGAGUUUAAAGUGGAUCUAUGUAAUCUGGUUUUUUUUUUUUUCUUCAGUUAAAGAGGUUUUGCUGCUUGGAAGAGUUGUGUGG
Molecule: microRNA precursor, 300 nt
Filed under: Amborella trichopoda
Lineage: Eukaryota; Viridiplantae; Streptophyta; Magnoliopsida; Amborellales; Amborellaceae
Description: miR8560 stem-loop (atr-MIR8560)
Source: miRBase by way of RNAcentral